This 253-nucleotide ribosomal RNA is filed under the name uncultured bacterium. RNAcentral describes it as "partial 16S ribosomal RNA". It matches the Rfam family "Bacterial small subunit ribosomal RNA", at positions 524 to 776 of the family's 1533-position model. The record is from RNAcentral.
UACAGAGGGUGCAAGCGUUGUUCGGAAUUACUGGGCGUAAAGGGCUCGUAGGCGGCCAACUAAGUCAGACGUGAAAUCCCUCGGCUUAACCGGGGAACUGCGUCUGAUACUGGAUGGCUUGAGAUUGGGAGAGGGAUGCGGAAUUCCAGGUGUAGCGGUGAAAUGCGCAGAUAUCGGGAGGAACACCAAUGGCGAAGGCAGCUCGCUGGGACGUUACUGACGCUGAGACGCGAAAGCGUGGGGAGCAAACAGG